Non-coding RNA from Ixodes scapularis (black-legged tick), 68 nucleotides. NCBI's taxonomy places the organism in Eukaryota, Metazoa, Arthropoda, Arachnida, Ixodida, Ixodidae. The record is from Rfam.
CUGGUUAGCUCAAUUGGUAGAGCGCUCAACUGGAAGUGAAGAGGUCUCUGGUUUAAUACCAGGACCAG